Molecule: long non-coding RNA, 624 nt
Filed under: Nicotiana benthamiana
Lineage: Eukaryota; Viridiplantae; Streptophyta; Magnoliopsida; Solanales; Solanaceae
Description: long non-coding RNA (NBEN_LNC038019)
Source: RNAcentral
UGAUCUAUUAAGGUAAUUUAAAGCUAAUUUGAACAAGUUAGAGCUUUGAGUCUGAGUAAAAGCGCAAGAAAUUAAGUCGGGAUCACGUUCAAGGAUCGAGGACCAAGUUUGGAUGUCAAAAAUACGUAAAAGAGAUUACUCUGAGAAAAAUUCAAUACUGCGCCGCGCCAUGUGCUCCAAGGCACAUGGCGUUAGUGCAAAAUUCAUGCAGAGCGAAUAAAAUUAACUCUCUAAAGAUCCUCACUAAUGUGGCACAUGCGGCGGCGCAUGUGCAUCACGCCAAUGUAUUUUCGCGGUCAAAUUAUCCCGCUUCGGCUUGGAAAGAGUAAUUUCAUUCGGGCUUAUUCCUACAUGAUAUAAGUACAUAAAAAACAAGAUUUUUAUAGGACUUUUGACCUGGAAAGAUUUUGGAGGGCAUUAACAGCUACAAGAUAUAAGAUUUCAUCACCAUUCCAUCAAUUCAAUACUGGAGUUUGGAUUGUAAUGAUAGAUUUAUGUUUUUUUACACUUUAAUUACAUUUAUGAUGAUUUCCUCCAAUUAUGGAGUAGUUUCCCUUAGGAUUUGUUGAAUAUGAUAUUUUGCUAGAUAUGAAUUUUACCUCAAAAUCUUUGCUUGAAUUCGUU